UACAUAUAUGUAUGUAUAUAAAUGUAUUUUUAUUUGGACUCACUGGAGGAUUAGCUGUGACAGUCAUUUAUCCGAGGGUUCUUUGUCAAGACAACCGUAGUGAUAGUAUUGGAUCCAAGCCGAUGAAAGAAUGGACUAGCAUCAGUAAAAACUUUUUGACGGAACAAUAGAACCCCCAGAGGCAUCAGACGACUGGCACCUUGCUCAUCUAUCAGCACUGGAGGUCUUGGCUCUAUAUAUUUUGGCUGUUGUAAUAUUUCAUGCUCACCUGCUAAAUCAACGAGUGAUACACCAGAGUGUGGCACCUGGUGCAAAAGAAAAAAAAAAGGAUCAGAAGCCAAAGCAGUGUGUUGAAACACAAAAAAGAAAAUAAUAAUUCAGAUGAAGGAAUGGUAGUGAAGAUUUAGUGAAUAGACUUGGAGAAGGUAUCUGACGUGACAAGAGUAUCUUAAGGUGACUGAGAAAGUGGAUUAAGGGUAAGAGUUUCUUAUGUGAAGGCGAAUAACCGUGAAGACCUGCAUAAAUGUGUUCCCACGUUACGUUUAACACCAGUUGCAACUUCGCAUAGAAUUCUCGGUACACAUUUACGAUCGUCAUAUUGCGAUAUAGAUGAGAGUGCGUCAAGUAAGUUGACACCUAAAAUACCAG
Molecule: long non-coding RNA, 648 nt
Organism: Aphidius gifuensis
Lineage: Eukaryota; Metazoa; Arthropoda; Insecta; Hymenoptera; Braconidae
Exons: 4
Source: RefSeq, a predicted model, not a curated record